GGCAAUAGAAAGAGGGGCGGGAGGCAGCCAGAAAAGGGAAGGAAACGAGCUGCUCGCGGAGGUCGAAGCGGAUGAGGCGCUGGGCACUCUGGGCACCGUUGUGAAAGGAUCGCAAGGACGGGUCGAAUCGAAAGAGAAGAAGAUUACUCUCUCUGAGGAGCAGGAGGAGGAGGAGGAGGAGUACCAACAACAAAUGUGAGAGAGGGGGAGGAAGAAGCGAGGAAUAAGAGAUCGUUACCAGCUUCUUUUUGAUUCUCAAGCUGGCAAGGCUUCUUUGCCUCCUCCUCAAUGUUGUUAGUCCACAUGAUGCUUCCUUUUCUUGUGUAGCAAGAUCGACAAUUCUUCGUCCUGAUUGCAGAUUGUGGAUUCAUAACUUUGAGAGGGGCAUAGGGAGAUAUCUCAAACUUGUUUCCAGUGAGGGCCUGGAUUUCGGUCGCGCGUCGAAAACAUGUUGGAGAGCCAGUCGUUUUUGAUCUCCAGAGCAUUGCCGAGCUCCUGUGAGCAAGAAUCGAAAUUGGCUUACAUGACUUACCAUCUCCUUGAGAUCACUACCAACAAACGCCCUACGAUCGUGGAAUCUUUCGAGCUAAAUGAAGCUGCUAUGAUAAAGAAGGCUAAAUCUGCAGACGACCUGGGACCUCCCUUUCAGGAAGAAAAAGCAUUGCCUCUUGAUGAAUCCAAUUAUAAUGGCCAGCACUCUGAUACAAAUUCUCUUAUUGGUCAAAUCGGCUGCGACAUGUCUAUAAAGUGUCUCCUUCACUGCUCUCGGUCGGACUAUGGUGCCCUUGCAUCGCUGAACCGGGCUUUCAAUUCCCUGUUCCGGACUGGUGAGCUCUACAAGCUACGGCGGCAGACUGGGAUCAUCGAGCACUGGGUGUACUUCUCCUGCAACAUACUUGAGUGGGAAGCAUAUGAUCCCUAUUGUGGGCACUGGAUUACUCUUCCAAAAAUGCCUCAGAAUGAUUUCUUCAUGCGCUCUGAUAAGGAAUCGCUGGCUGUGGGCACCGAGCUCCUCGUUUUUGGGAGGGACUACACCUCUCGUAUUGCCCAUAUAGUGCUGAGGUAUAGCAUUCUGACGAAUUCUUGGUCCCAAGGUAUUGAAAUGAACUCCCCUAGGUGCUUGUUUGGAUCCGCCAGCUUUGGCGAAGUAGCUAUCGUUGCCGGUGGUGUAGAUGCUCAAAAUACUAUAUUGAGUUCUGCAGAGCUCUAUAAUUCUGAGACGCAAACGUGGGUAACACUUCCUAGUAUGAAUAAACCAAGGAAAAUGUGUUCAGGUGUCUUUAUGGACAACAAGUUCUAUGUGAUUGGCGGAAUGCGUAGCCCUACCGAAUUGCUGACGUGCGGGGAAGAAUAUGAUACGGAGAGACAUAGCUGGAGGGUCAUUCCAAAUAUGUCUCUAGGACUGAAUGGUCCAAGUGGUGCACCUCCAUUGGUGGCAGUAGUCAAUAAUGAGCUAUAUGCAGCUGAUUAUGCAGAAAAGGAGGUCAGGAAGUAUGACAAGGAGAAUAACUCUUGGGUCACUCUUGGAAGAUUGCCUGAGAGACCAGAUUCAGUGAACGGUUGGGGUCUAGCUUUUCGGGCUUGUGGUGAUCGACUCCUAGUGAUCGGUGGACCGAGGGUGCUUGGAGGAGGGAUGAUUGAACUAAAUUCAUGGACACCGAGAGAUGGACCUCCAGAGUGGAAACUGAUUGCUAGGAAGCACUGUGGAAGCUUUGUGUAUAACUGUGCUGUAAUGGGCUGCUGAGAUUUGUCUGAAGAUAUGCUGCAUAUCUUCUUGCAGUACGAGUAUGUGCAAGAUUGGCUGGUCAAAGGGCAUAAAACACCGAUUGUGCCAGGGCACUCUGGCUUUCGAAAUUUUCAGAUUUGAUAGGGCAAUCACUUUCUACUAUGUAAAACUCGAGAUACAUCUUCUUCCUUUCAUCUUCUAGCUUUGCCUUCAUCUAAUCUAAAGCCAAAUAUAUUUAACUUCUUCCAAAUUGCCCUUCAACAGGAUAGUGUUCUCGUGGAUCAUGCAGGAAUAUGGCACAUAAUAAUUCGGUGUAGCUGCAUGUUCAUUGGUUCCCUUGGAACUCUUCGAGCUUGUUAGCUUUACAGUGUGGUGUCAGUCAUCAAACACCGGAUUCCUCUCCUCUCCAAUUUAAACAUGCAAACUUAGGAAGAUUUCUGAGAAGCAACCCUAGUUGGACAAGAAUGGAGGUAAUUAAGAAGUCUGGUCAACUUUCAUACUUGGACUAAGUUAGACAAUGGAUUUUCUUUUAUCUUGGCAUUACUCUGCUUCUGCUUCAUCCCUGUAAAAAUGAUUAAAAUGUUAAACCUUAAUAGUCACAUCUACUUAUUGCCUGAAGCAUGCUGUUUAAUGUUUCCAGCUCUGCAUUGUUAGUUUAGUUAUCCUACAGAUAAAACUAAAAGAAGACAUCUGUAGUAUUCUUAUACUACAGAUAAUAGGAGGUUGGAGAUUGAUAGAUCUUUAUGCUCUUGAUGCUUGAUAGACCAUUCUUGAUACAUAUGCUCUGAUGUCGAAACCAUAACAUUAAGAAUAAUGUUCUUAUUAUUUUCAGCAUUACAUUAAUUUUUUUACUUCCUGUUCAAAGUUGCUAAUUUGACAUCACAAUGAACUCCAUACUUGAAGCAAGAAACCACUUUUUUAUCUGCUUUUUUGUUUUAUUAAUAUUUUGCUUUUAUGUUUGUGAAUAUACAGGUUAAUGUUCUUCUUGCACUAACGAGACCAUCAUAUUUUGCAGAAUCAGAGGGGUAGUCGAGUUGCAAGUUUUAUGGGGUUCUACUCGUAUGUUUAAGAUUGAACUCUUUUAAUUACUUUUCUAUGCCUGGAGUUUGAUGCUUGCCCAUUGUCCAUCUCGCAUCUGUCUUUCUUAUGGAUCCAUAAGGAUGAAGAUUUACUGUGAAAAUAUAUGUGCAAUUAUUGAACAUAUUAAAUAGAAGAAAUUUAUUGAUGAGGUUAUUUCCCUGAGCUAAAUGCCUGCUGUUAAGAGUGGGAAGCUGUUUUCUGUUAAUGUGGCUCGAUCAGCCUCUUGUAUGUUUAUGUCUCCGUUUCUACUUGUGCUGAGGUAAAAUUAUGUAACAAAAGAGUUUCUAAUGCAUCAAGGUUUCAUUUGGGUU
Musa acuminata AAA Group (dessert banana) is the source of this 3117-nucleotide RNA transcript. It is a transcript of the gene named F-box/kelch-repeat protein SKIP11-like, with no coding region annotated. The record is from RefSeq and is a predicted model, not a curated record. The transcript has 4 exons. NCBI's taxonomy places the organism in Eukaryota, Viridiplantae, Streptophyta, Magnoliopsida, Zingiberales, Musaceae.